CCUACGGGAGGCAGCAGUGAGGAAUAUUGGUCAAUGGCCGGAAGGCUGAACCAGCCAUGCCGCGUGAAGGUCAGUGCCCUAUGGGCGUUAAACUUCUUUUGUGCGGGAGCAAUAAUGGUCACGUGUGGCCAGACGAGAGUACCGUACGAAUAAGCAUCGGCUAACUCCGUUCCAGCAGCCGCGGCAAUACGGGGGAUGCAAGCGUUAUGCGGAUUUAUUGGGGUUAAAGGGUGCGUAGGGUGGGAGGUAAGUCAGCGGUGAAAUGCCCCCGCUCAACGGGGUGAAGUGCCAUUGAUACUGGCUUGCUGGAGGGCGGAUGACGUGGGAGGAAUGUGUGGUGUAGCGGUGAAAUGCAUAGAUAUCACACAGAACACCGAUUGCGAAGGCAUCUCACGAAUCCGCGAUUGACGCUGAGGCACGAAAGCGUGGGUAUCGAACAGGAUUAGAUACCCGUGUAGUC
RNAcentral lists this ribosomal RNA (460 nucleotides) under uncultured bacterium. Its description in RNAcentral is "partial 16S ribosomal RNA". It matches the Rfam family "Bacterial small subunit ribosomal RNA", at positions 338 to 795 of the family's 1533-position model. The record is from RNAcentral.